Molecule: unclassified non-coding RNA, 230 nt
Filed under: uncultured fungus
Lineage: Eukaryota; Fungi
Description: sequence contains ITS1
Source: RNAcentral
UUGAUAUUUAUGUAUAAAACAAGACUGUACGUUAAAACAGAGUUUAGGUCUUCUGGCAGGCGCGCACUAGCAGCGCCGCUGGCAGAACCGGCGGCGUGGCGUGUGAUGGCGUACCCUUGCGGGCACGCCAUGGCCUGCCGAAGCAACGUGGAGGUAGACAGAGGGUGGGAGGUUGGGCUCUUGCGAACCCAGUCUCGGUAAUGAUCCUUCCGCAGGUUCACCUACGGAAA